Molecule: ribosomal RNA, 459 nt
Filed under: uncultured bacterium
Lineage: Bacteria
Description: partial 16S ribosomal RNA
Rfam family: Bacterial small subunit ribosomal RNA
Source: RNAcentral
CCUACGGGUGGCAGCAGUGAGGAAUAUUGGUCAAUGGGCGCGAGCCUGAACCAGCCAAGUCGCGUGAGGGAAGACGGUCCUAUGGAUUGUAAACCUCUUUUGUCGGGGAGCAAAAGACGCCACGCGUGGCGUUCCGAGAGUACCCGAAGAAAAAGCAUCGGCUAACUCCGUGCCAGCAGGCGCGGUAAUACGGAGGAUGCGAGCGUUAUCCGGAUUUAUUGGGGUUAAAGGGGGCGCAGGCGGAAGAUCAAGUCAGCGUUAAAAUUGAGGGGUUCAACCUCUUCGAGCCGUUGAGACUGGUUAUCUUGAGUGAGCGAGAGGUAUGCGGAAUGCGUGGUGUAGCGGUGAAAUGCAUAGAUAUCACGAAGAACUCCGGUUGCGAAGGCAGCAUACCGGCGCUCAACUGACGCUCAUGCACGAAAGUGUGGGUAUCGAACAGGAUUAGAUACCCGGGUAGUC